CACCCUCAUAUCAUAUCAUCCCAAACCUGUAAGACCUCAUCUUUGGAGCACAAAUUAAGAUAUUUUUGAAGAAAUCUGAAAGCUUUCUGACCUGCGUAGACAGCAACGCAACUGCCACAUUCAAGACCCAGAAAGGUAGUAAGGACAUCGUUAAAAUAGUCUAUGUGACAUCAGUGGUUCAAUCGUAAUGUUAUGAAGCUACACGAAUACUUUUUGUGUGCAAAGAAAACAAAAAUAUUAAUUUUGUUCAACAAUUUAUUUUCUUCCAUGUCAGCCUUCACCAUACUUUGGAGAAUACCACGAUGCAUGCGUGUGAUGCUGAUGAUGCAGGUGCCGGCGUUGUGACCUAGAACCCGGAUGAGUUGCAGCUUGUUUACAAGCAGAAGAAGAUGCAUGCUCCCUACGUGGCCUGUGCCCUGUGGUGGAUCUCUUGGUUUAGGCCAUAUUCACUACGCACUUUGCUGCCAGAGGCAUCCGCUGCUGUGGCCAAGCGCACCCCUGAGCCAUACACUGGAGAAUAUGUAAGCGUCUCCCUCAAUUAGUCCUGUUUGGUCUUAACACUGCUCCUGGCUUCGGCAAACCCACCACUCCCAGGGGACCCAGUGGUGAUAUUUUCAGUGUCAAUAAACCUUUACAGCAAACUGGCAAAGAAGUUGCCCCUAAUGGACAUUAGUGGUACUGCAGUUUAAAACUGUAAGAAUCUUUAUUCAUGGACACUGGAACUUAUUAUCAGCUGCAGUCUUUUAACAACAGUGAAUUUGAAUGAACUUGUGUAACCCAUUACCAUUAUUCAGUGUUUUUAUUAGGUUUUUCAGCAUUUAUAAGUGUUAAAAUAAAAGUGUAAAAAAUGUAAAAUAAAUGUAAGAAAAGCAUAAGUAGUUUGUAAUAUAAUAUCAUCAUUUGCUAAUAGUUUUAUUUUUCCACAUUGAAGUGUUAAUGUGUAUGCAAAGUAAAUCAUAAAUAAUAAUAAUAAUAACACAAAAUUUAUAAAACUAAAAUUGCUAAAUAUACAUAAAACUAAAUUAAUAAAACUAGAAAAUGCUAAAUAUAAAAUUGGAAAGUAACUCAAAAUACUAAUAAAAACUACAAUAGCAUUUCUUCUUUUAAAUAUGCUUACAAAAUGUUUGUACAGAGCCCAACACAUGAUGCAUUAGAAGAAAAAAAAAAAAAAACUAUUUAUGAUGACCACGACUUAAAAAUGUUUAUAAAAGUUAAAAAAGUAAUACAAUGUGGCCAUAAUUGACAUAAAACAAGGAAAAAAAUUAAUCAAACAUGACCAUGAUUUAACUAAAAUGAGGGAACAAAUUAAUAAAAUGUGAUAUGUUUGUGUCAUUUUUUGGGCAG
Cyprinus carpio carpio is the source of this 1344-nucleotide long non-coding RNA. NCBI's taxonomy places the organism in Eukaryota, Metazoa, Chordata, Actinopteri, Cypriniformes, Cyprinidae. The record is from Ensembl.